AACACUGUUAACCUGCGGUACCUGCGGAAGGAUCAUUACCGAGUGCGGGCUGCCUCCGGGCGCCCAACCUCCCACCCGUGACUACCUAACACUGUUGCUUCGGCGGGGAGCCCCCCAGGGGCGAGCCGCCGGGGACCACUGAACUUCAUGCCUGAGAGUGAUGCAGUCUGAGCCUGAAUACAAAUCAGUCAAAACUUUUAACAAUGGAUCU
RNAcentral lists this unclassified non-coding RNA (211 nucleotides) under soil metagenome. RNAcentral's name for it is "partial contains 5.8S ribosomal RNA, internal transcribed spacer 2, and large subunit ribosomal RNA". The record is from RNAcentral.